Molecule: ribosomal RNA, 774 nt
Filed under: uncultured Neocallimastigales
Lineage: Eukaryota; Fungi; Neocallimastigomycota; Neocallimastigomycetes; Neocallimastigales
Description: partial large subunit ribosomal RNA
Rfam family: Eukaryotic large subunit ribosomal RNA
Source: RNAcentral
UAUGUGAUCGUCUCUCGCAUAUCAAUAAGCGGAGGAAAAGAAACUAACAAGGAUUCCCCUAGUAACGGCGAGUGAAGCGGGAAGAGCUCAAAUUCGAAAUCUUAAAGGGUUUCCCUUUACGAAUUGUAGUUUAAAGAAGUGUUUUCUGUUGAGGUUUUGGUAAAAGUUCUUUGGAAUAGGACAUCAUAGAGGGUGAGAAUCCCGUAUUUGACCUUUACUUUCAACUUUGUGAUACACUUUCAAAGAGUCGGAUUGUUUGGGAAUGCAGUCCAAAAUGGGUGGUAAAUUUCAUCUAUAGCUAAAUAUUGGCGAGAGACCGAUAGCGAACAAGUACCGUGAGGGAAAGAUGAAAAGAACUUUGAAAAGAGAGUUAAACAGUACGUGAAAUUGUCAAAAGGGAAGCGUUUGACACCAGUGUUGUUUUUCUGAAAAUCAAUUAAAGAACUGUUUAUGCUAAGUUGUUUAGACUUUAUCAGCUAUCUGCUUAGUUUUGAGCUUUUCUUUAAUGCACUUUUCAGUUAACAAGUCAACAUCAAUUUCUUUUGCUGUAAAAAAGCUUGAGGAAGGUGGCUUGAGAUUCGUCUUAAGUGUUUAUAGCCUCUUGCCUAUGCAGUCGGAGAGAUUGAGGUCUGCAGCGUAGAUCCUUCGGGGCUAAAUGCAUUUGUGCUAAGUUAUAACAUUUUAUAGACAACUUGUUGACUAUGAUUUGUCUUGUAGCUUACUCGCUUAUGUUAUUUUACCUACGCUUAGGAUGUUGAGUAGCGACAUACGCAC